This 2196-nucleotide long non-coding RNA is filed under the name Mus musculus (house mouse). RNAcentral describes it as "long non-coding RNA chr11:93944418-93946614". Lineage: Eukaryota; Metazoa; Chordata; Mammalia; Rodentia; Muridae. The record is from RNAcentral.
UGACGUUUUAUUGCAGCCCAUUUAACUGUUUGUACAGAAACUUUUUCAUUCUGCUAAAAUUUAUUUGGAGUUGUAUAUGAAACUAGGAGAACUCUGGAUACUUUUAUAUGCUCUCCUUCACGUAAAGAUGAUUAAAAUUGUCUAACACUAAAGUGUUAAACUGGAAUGGUUGACAAAGUACACAAGAUCUCAGUCUACAUAAAGGGUUGGGGGAAAUUAGUAUUUUCCUAAGUUUAUUCUGUUUUCCUUGCUAGAAAAAUCCCAUAAAAGGGAUAUUCUUGUCAGACCUCUGCCAUUUCUUCCAUCUGUGAGAGAGCAACGUGAUGUAACCACACCUGAGAGCAGGUACUGUCCUGUGUUACAAAAGAAUCACAUGGAAAAUUGUUAACCAAAAUAAGUGUAGAUUUCAGAAUCAUUCCAGCUCUACUCUUAACUGUCCUGAAUUUGUUAGAAACUGAUUUGAAAGAAAUGUUUCUUAAAAUUCCAUACACACACACACACAUAUUAUGAAUUGUCUUUAAUUGUAGUCAGAAUUUAUUAUAACAAUAUUUGAUUUGGACCAUUUUAAACAUUCCCUAUUUUAAAAUUCAUACGGCUUCCUUAAGAAGUAGAAUGAAAGGGUAAAUUGGUGACAUGUUUGCUCUCUGCAUUUUCUAACCUUCUACCGAAUUGUGACUGACUCAGAGAGCUCUAGCAUUUACCAGUGAGGUUCAGAAACUAAACUCUCAGGAAUUCAUUGCAUCUGUUGUAGAAGUGCUUCUGGGUCUGAGCCUGGCCUCCUCAGAGUGGUAAUACUGCCCACUUCCUCUGGAAAAUAGGCAGGGCUAAUGAGAAACUAAUCAAAUGAUUAACCUCUGCGGCCCUUCAGCCUUUGGAAUGCUUUAAAAAAAAAAAAAAAAAAAAGAAAGUAAAAAGAAUGCUAAUGGAAAACCCCAGGAGACAUUUUAGGUAAGAUUUUUUGUUUGACUUUUAAAUGCAUAGAACAUUAAAAACCAGCAAUUUAUUUUCUAAAAUAUUGCUCUACUUUUGGGAAUAAUAGCAUUGGUAAUAUGCACAGGUUUACCUCAUUCUAUGCAAGAGGGGUUAAUAACAUAAGGUUUUGUAGUAGCUACUGGAAGUAAAAUGUGUUACUUUUUAGUGUAAAAAUGUAUGGAAUCGCAUGUCACCAUUUUUUUAAUACUGACUCUGGGGGCUAAAUGCAGAUCACAUCAAUGCAAGUUGAUUCUUGUGUCAAAUAUAUGUGAAUUCAGCUGUAAAAUUACUGGAUAUUUAUCUUAACAGUGCUGAGAGGGACCUACUGUAAAUGUGACAUCCUCACACUUCCCAAAUCUUUGACUUGGAAGGAUCUUCCCAGAAGCUUAAAGCCUAGAAGAGGUCCAAAGCAAAGGUCAUAGCAGUCUUUAUUCUCAGGCUCAGCAUGAAACCCAGAACUGUGCUUCCAUGGUACCAGGGCAAGAAGCCUGUUGGAUGGGGUGCUCUCCUGCCUUGGGUGGAGGAGCUCUCCAGGGAACUAACUUUAAGCCAGGAAGGAUGUGAUUUCAAGGCAGCCAGUCCUGGUAAUCAGUUCUGUGAAAUAAUCAUUUGUAGCCAGGUUUUACAAGCUUCCAAUUCUACACCAAAACCAGGCUUGGCGUUAGAAUUCCCCGCCUACAUUCACAAAGUGUUUAUGUUCUCUAAUAGUGAAGGGUUGGUAAGGACUUGCUAGAGUCCAAACAGAACCCGAAGCCCUCUUCUUUGUUAAGACCCUCGCUCCUGCUGCUAACACAGACCGUUAACCAGAGGAGGCUUCCAUCGUAGCCAUAAUGCCUGUCGUCGUACAGCUCAGUAGCCCGUUCUCUUUCACAGUUCAACGUGUACUGCCGACCUUGGACUUGUUUGUGUUUUCCUGUUAGAAGCCUGGGAACUUUUAGUAGUUUAAUCUUUUUAACCAUUUUCCUUGCAGUGUAUGAGGAAAGCUAAAGCUGUUAUCAACUUCUUAUUCUGCGGAUACUAACACGGGUUUUCAGUGUUUGUUUGUUUUUAUUAUUAAUUAAUUUUGUGUGAUGUGAAUACCCUCGCCCAUCAAUAUUUGUAUUAUGGUGCUAUAUAUUUGGUAAUGAUCCUUUAAUAUUGGGGAGGGAUUUUAAAAAUACUGUGAUUAAACUGGGUAUCUUCCUUUGAUUUUCAUAUUUUAAAUAAAGCCACAGUCAUUUAUAC